This is a long non-coding RNA of Mobula hypostoma (lesser devil ray), 678 nucleotides long. RefSeq lists it as uncharacterized. The transcript has 3 exons. Lineage: Eukaryota; Metazoa; Chordata; Chondrichthyes; Myliobatiformes; Myliobatidae. The record is from RefSeq and is a predicted model, not a curated record.
UCACUGUUGCCGGGGACACGGCCCGGAAAUUAAACUGUUUGUCUCGUCACUGCACAGGAAAUUACCUCAGCGCUUCUAGAGAGAAAUAGGAGUUAAAACGGUGUACAGCCGAAAGCAUUCUAACUUGCUGAUAUGGGCACUCCAAUGCACAGGAACACAAGAGUCUAAAGAGAAUGGUGGACUCAGACAAUUCCAUCACAGGUAGAGCUCUCCCCAACAUUAAGGAAAUGUCUCAGGAAGGUCUCUUCACACUGUUACCAUCAGGCAGGAGGUACAGGAGCCUGAAGACUUAAGAAUCUCAUCACCCAUCCCAUCCAUACCAUUGGUACCAACGUGGACCGCAACCUCUGACUGCUCACCCUCCCACUUAAGAAUGUGGACACUGGAACGCAGUCGUCGACACUAAGGUUUCCUUUUUUUUUUAUGAUGUCACAUAACAGCCCAUGUCUUUUUUUUUACUUUGGUUGAGAUUACUGUUAAUACUGUUUAGAUUAGUUUUUUUUGGGGGGGGGGGUUACAAUUUUUUUUCUUUUUCAUGAUUUUUUUAGAUAUUUUUAUUUGUUUUAUAUUGUUCAUCUGUAUCCUAUAUGGUUGGGAGUUUUAUCAUUUAAGUGUCAACUGCCUUUAUAAUUAACUAUGCCAAUUAUAACAAUGUAUUCCCAAUAACUUUGUACCAUU